RNAcentral lists this unclassified non-coding RNA (373 nucleotides) under soil metagenome. Its description in RNAcentral is "partial contains 5.8S ribosomal RNA, internal transcribed spacer 2, and large subunit ribosomal RNA". The stretch from base 1 to 121 matches the Rfam family "5.8S ribosomal RNA", at positions 35 to 154 of the family's 154-position model. The record is from RNAcentral.
GAUGAAGAACGCAGCGAAAUGCGAUAAGUAAUGCGAAUUGCAGAAUUCCAGUGAGUCAUCGAAUCUUUGAACGCACAUUGCGCCCUUUGGUAUUCCGAAGGGCAUGCCUGUUCGAGCGUCAUUAUCACCCCUCAAGCCCUCGGCUUGGUGUUGGACGGUUUGGUGGAGGCCCCCUCGGGGGCUCCUGCCCCUCCCAAAGACAAUGACGGCGGCCUCGUUGGACCCCCGGUACACUGAGUUCUUCACGGGACACGUAUCGGACACAUGGGUUUACGGGACACGGUCUGCCUCCCCUCAGGGAGAAUCUUUCUAAGGUUGACCUCGGAUCAGGUAGGGAUACCCGCUGAACUUAAGCAUAUCAAUAAGUGGAGGA